AGCGGUGGACAUGUGGUUUAUUCGAUGCACGCGAAGAACCUUACCUACUCUUGACAUCCAGCGAAUCCUUUAGAGAUAGAGGAGUGCCUUCGGGAACGCUGAGACAGGUGCUGCAUGGCUGUCGUCAGCUCGUGUUGUGAAAUGUUGGGUUAAGUCCCGCAACGAGCGCAACCCUUAUCCUUUGUUGCCAGCGCGUCAUGGCGGGAACUCAAAGGAGACUGCCGGUGAUAAACCGGAGGAAGGUGGGGAUGACGUCAAGUCAUCAUGGCCCUUACGAGUAGGGCUACACACGUGCUACAAUGGCAGAUACAAAGAGAAGCGACCUCGCGAGAGCAAGCGGAACUCAUAAAGUCUGUCGUAGUCCGGAUUGGAGUCUGCAACUCGACUCCAUGAAGUCGGAAUCGCUAGUAAUCGUAGAUCAGAAUGCUACGGUGAAUACGUUCCCGGGCCUUGUACACACCGCCCGU
This 467-nucleotide ribosomal RNA is filed under the name Proteus hauseri. RNAcentral's name for it is "bacterial SSU rRNA". It matches the Rfam family "Bacterial small subunit ribosomal RNA", at positions 928 to 1397 of the family's 1533-position model. Lineage: Bacteria; Pseudomonadati; Pseudomonadota; Gammaproteobacteria; Enterobacterales; Morganellaceae. The record is from RNAcentral.